UAAUACGGAGGUGGCAAGCGUUGUUCGGAUUUACUGGGUGUAAAGAGUGCGUAGGUGGUCGGGCAAGUCAGGUGUGAAAUCCCACGGCUCAACCGUGGAAUUGCAUUUGAAACUGCUUGACUUGAGUGUAUGAGAGGAAAGGGGAAUUCUCGGUGUAAGGGUGAAAUCUGUAGAUAUCGAGAGGAACACCAGCGGCGAAGGCGCCUUUCUGGCAUGCAACUGACACUGAGGCACGAAAGCGUGGGGAGCGAACAGGAUUAGAUACCCUGGUAGUCCACGCCGUAAACGAUGGGUACUAGGUGUUUCUGUCUUUGACAGGAGUGCCGCAGCUAACGCAUUAAGUACCCCACCUGGGGAGUACGUCGGCAACGAUG
RNAcentral lists this ribosomal RNA (374 nucleotides) under uncultured bacterium. Its description in RNAcentral is "bacterial SSU rRNA". It matches the Rfam family "Bacterial small subunit ribosomal RNA", at positions 521 to 896 of the family's 1533-position model. The record is from RNAcentral.